GGUCUUACCUACCCCACCCAUACCAACUAUGGGCACGAUGCUAAAGUUUUUAUCGCAAGGUUCAUCCUCCAAUAGCUUGUGGAGCAACGCAUCCUUUUCACCUUCACGUCCGACAAUACUAGAUGCAUCAACCAAAGAGUUCUUGUAACUUGGUGGUAAUAUCAUCCAACUUGCUAUGCAUACUUGUACUUACUGAGAAAUUUGUGCAACAACUCGGGAUGAGAUUUCUUACCACGUUUAUGGAGGCUCCACGUUCCUUGGUCAACUCACGAUGCAUAGCUUCGGUUUCCAAAUCGUCAAGUAGGUCGUCAAUGUCGUAAGCCAGAUGUUGGAGACCAUUAAGCCACUCUUUAACACUCUCAUCAGUUAUUUCCUUACGAGAAGCAUCAUGAAGCAGAAAUUUGAUCUGGUUUAAUGAUCUCUUCAGUUUCUUGAUCUCGGAAUCAAUUCCUUUAAGGCGAGUGAACUUCUUCAACGAAUCAGAGGCUAGCUUUUCAAAUAACACCGAGAAGAAGGCAGAAAGUACUAUUUCAGCCAUUGUUGAAGGGCGGAGAAUAUAGUAAAGGUCCGGUGGUGGAGUGGAUCUACAGAGCGAUAUCAAUAAUUGUUUUAUGUUGAUGAAAUGCACAGGUACUGGAGGAGAACGAUUUCAAUUAUUGUCAUAGUAAAGAUGUGGACAAACUUGAACCACGUUGCAAGUUGCAAUGGCAACUUUUUCAUAUAUGAUUCACAUGCAUUCUAAAGAAAACGUGUUUUUGAA
This is a long non-coding RNA of Lactuca sativa (garden lettuce), 760 nucleotides long. RefSeq lists it as uncharacterized. The record is from RefSeq and is a predicted model, not a curated record. NCBI's taxonomy places the organism in Eukaryota, Viridiplantae, Streptophyta, Magnoliopsida, Asterales, Asteraceae.